CGUGAUCGGGCUCCGGUGGCGUCGAGCGCGUCAGGCCACGCCCCGCGCGCCGGGUCGGUCAAGGCCUGCGCCUGCGCGGCCGCUGGCUCGCCGGCUAGCCGUCCUGCGGGCUGGCGGCUACCGCGCGCGGAGCCGGAUGCCCGCUGCAAUGGCAUGAUCUAGCAGAAAGAUGGCUGCCAAUGGCUAUUUUAUUUUUCUUUCUGUGGCAAGAUUGUCAUGGAGCCUGGAUAUUUCAGGGAAUCCAGUUACCAAAAUGACUCCAGAAGAAAGAACCUAACAGACCAGUAACAAUGGAAGAAAUUGAGAAAGUUACCAAAAAGCUGCCAUCCCCCAAAACACCAGGCUCAGAUGAUGUUACAGCCCAACUCCAAGGAAUGUGGCCUCUCUCUGUCAAACAUACAGGUUAAAAAUCUCCUUCAUGAAGAAGAAAGAUCUUAAGCAACAUGGUGGAUUCAGAAGCUCAUGAAAAGAGGCCGCCCAUCCUGACAUCUUCCAAACAAGACCUGUCACCUCACAUUGCAAAUGUAGGUGAAAUGAAGCAUUAUCUGUGCGGCUGCUGUGCAGCUUUCAACAAUGUAGCCAUCACAUUUCCCAUUCAGAAGGUGCUCUUUCGGCAGCAGCUGUACGGAAUCAAAACCCGGGACGCAGUGCUUCAGCUGAGGAGGGAUGGCUUUCGAAACUUAUACCGCGGAAUCCUUCCCCCACUGUUGCAGAAGACCACCACGCUGGCGCUUAUGUUCGGUCUGUAUGAGGACUUAUCCUGUCUUCUCCGGAAGCACAUCAGUCCCCCUGAGUUUGCAACCCGUAGUGUGGCAGCGGUACUUGCAGGGACAACAGAAGCAAUUUUCACUCCGUUGGAAAGAGUUCAGACAUUGCUUCAAGACCACAGGCAUCAUGACAAAUUUACAAACACUUACCAGGCUUUCAAGGCACUCAGAUGCCAUGGAAUAAGAGAAUAUUAUCGAGGCUUGGUACCUGUUCUUUUCCGUAAUGGAUUCAGCAAUGUCCUUUUCUUUGGCCUUCGUGGCCCCAUUAAGGAGCAUCUGCCUACCGCAACCACCCACAGCGCUCAUUUGGUCAAUGAUUUUAUCUGUGGAGGUCUGUUGGGUGCCAUGUUGGGAAUCUUGUUUUUUCCAGUUAAUGUUGUAAAAACUCGCAUGCAGUCUCAGAUUGGUGGAGAGUUUCAGUCUUCUCCCAAGGUGUUCCAAAAAAUCUGGCUAGAACGAGACAGAAAGCUGACAAAUCUCUUCAGAGGUGCUCACCUGAAUUACCAUCGGUCCCUCAUCUCUUGGGGUAUAAUCAAUGCGACUUAUGAGUUCUUGUUAAAGAUGAUUUGAAAGAAACCAGUUAAGUGCCAUUUAUUAACUGCAUAGACCUAAGAAGAAUGUAGUUUGGCUUUGUUCCUAAUUGACCAAAUACAGGUUGUUGUCGUAAGUUCAGGGCACAAUGAAUUACGGGGCAGAGCUGUUUUCCUUCAGCACCAACAAAUUCAGAAUAAAAGGUUCUAAUAGGAAAAUUUAAGGGGUUUUUGGUUUUGUUUUGUAAUCAUUAUCUAAGAACUUUAGGCUAAUUGCCUGGUUAAUAGCUAUCUAUCUGAUGGCUUUUGACAAGGAAAGCUAAUAGCCAAGAUAUGGUUCUUUUCUCCAAAAGUCUUUAAAUCUUCUGUAUUGAAACAUCAGUGGCCAUGACCAGCCAGAGAAAAGGCUCUUAGAGCCCUGUGAAUUCUCAGGCUUUCUUCUCUUACUCCAUUUCUUCGCUGCUUUUAGGAGUUGCAAAGGGUAGUAUUCGUUAAACAUAAGCAUAUAACGUGGUAGGACAGAGAAGAGAAAAACAGCUUAUUAGAUGUAGGCUUUUCAUGAUAAAUCGCUUGUGUUAGUUUUGAAACUAAGUACAUGUUGGGAUGGUCAUCAUCCAGACUAUUCAGACACAGUAGGGCAGACCCAAGCAGCAGGUGAAAGCUCCCAUUUUGCUUUCUGAGUUGGAAAGUGUUGUUUAGUUCUGAAUGUGACCUUAAACCCUUCGAAUGCCCUUAUGUUAAUUUCACUUAUUUCAUUACCAAAAGAUGGGGAGACUUACAUUUCGUCACAGCUGUUUGAUCCUGUGAAGAAAUUUCACAUGAAUUGCGUAUGGAUCAAACUCUGGUUAGUUUAGUUCUUUGAUUAAUUGUUGCCAACUUAGUGAAGAGCUGUGGGAGUUUGGGGAAUAUUUUCACUUUGAGUCCUAGUUUCUCAUAUUCAAGUAUCCUGUUCUCUUGAACUCUCCUUAAAAAAAAAAAAAAAAAAAGAUAAAUACUUGCAUAAUAUUGAAUUUUGGAAGUCUGUUAAUGGGACUCUAGAUUUUUCCCUCCUGGUUUCUAAGUGUUACAGAAGAGAAAGAAAAAAAAAACCUCAGGAUAGCUUUCACCCCAGAGUGUUAGUUGUCUUUUUUAUUUUACUCUUGGAAAUGGAGACUUCUAUUAGGAUUUUUACAUUUUGGGAACCCAGUUUUACCAUUUUAUCAUUAAAGCCAUUUGAGGUGAUAAAAUCUAAAUCAAGAUAUUUAGAAGGUUCAUUUUAAAUGCUAGAAGUUGGUAAGAGCUGGAUAGCAUACUCAUCCCCUACAUAACAGAGAAAAACUUGUUGAAGGAAUCAGAUUUUAAAGUCUUAUGCCCUGAUCAGUAAGGCAAAAUGCCUCCUAUUUACCAAUUGAAUAACUAAUAAAACCUGAAACAUCCUAGAAAAGUGGUUUAUCAAUCUUUUAAAAAUCCCCAUCUGUAAAUAUGUAGUUAAGAUUGCUUGCCAGCAUCUGACAUGGCAGAGUAGUUAAGUUUCUUAUUACCAGUUUUUCCUCAUUCUGGGUAACUGCAUAUGAAUAUGUGCAUACACUGACCAAAACAAAAUCAGGGUCUCAGCUGGUAGUUUACUCAGUUUCUGGGCAGAUAGUCCAAAAGAGAUGUUUACCUCUAAAUGCAAUAUGGCUGGUCACAUAAGCAUCCUUCCAACCUUAAAGGAUUGGGAAGCAUUAUCAAGCAUUUGCCAGGCAGUAAUGAGGCCCAGUAGCUUUACAACAGCCCUGUUUGGAAAUGUUGUGUUGGAAAUGGCAGUUUACUUUGAAAACCAAGAUGCAGAUGUGAGGAUUUCAGAAAACAAGGAUUUGACACCGAAUAAACGAAUAAACGUGAGUAGCAUCUUUGGCUUAUUGAAUGGAGUCUGGCUUUGAAGCGGGUUGGAUUUGGGGGCAUGAAUGACAAAGGCACUGGUGCUGGAGCACUGAUGGGUGUGUGUAGGUGCUCAGCGUGUGGCAGGUGAGUCAGCCUGGGGCCAUGCUCUGGGAAUGGGCUUCCUUUUGUCUAUACACUCCAGUAAGGUGAUGGAUAACCAAGUUCUGAAGCACUUUUGUGAAAUAGAGGUGAAGUGAGAAUUUGAAAGGGGAUGCUUUGGUUUCUGCAGUCUCAAACUUGUGGCAUUUAAAAACAAUAAAUAUUUUUAAUGGUUUUAACUCCUAAUAUAUUGGAUUUCUUUGUCACUUUUUACAGCUUCUGAAGACCAAACUGCAAAUACAUUACCAGGGAUGGUUUCGUGUUGUCCUAUAGACCUUUUAAAUUUGACAAAAUUCAGCAGGACUUGCUUGUGGUAGCCAACAGCUUUGUCUGAACUUUAAAAGAAGUCAAAGUGUUAUUAAUAAGAGAUUCUAACUAUGCUUUUUUAUCUUCAGUAUGAACUAGUAAUAAUUUUGAAAAGGCAAACAUGAUUGAAUAACUAUCUGAAGAGCUUUAAAAGUGGCCUUUUUGUUACAUAGGUGGCACAGAUGCCUUAUGAGCACAGGGCCCUUCUGGUCCUGCCUCCCAUACUUCAGCUCUGAUGCCACCAGGAAUAUGUUACGGAUUCUGUAUUUAACACACUUAGGAAUGGUAUGAGCCCUUAGGACUGCAUCACAGAGUAAACGCCACCUUUAUAUGGUGGCAGGUUUGUGUGUCUUUGUUUCAUUUGUGGUUGGAGACAGUUGAUGUUUUUGUCUCAAUAAUCAAUAUUCUUCUUUAUGGUUGGUUAUGUAAUUACCUGCUGUAUAUUGUAAACUGUGCAAUAAAACAGAAUUGUGUAUAUAGAAUCAUCUUUGGAGACCUGAACUUUCCUAGCUCGAUGACAGGGGUAAUACUCCGCUCUAGUGCUGUGCAAACAUGUAAGGGAAUCGUGGGUGGCACACAGGAUGUGUGGACCGGGUCAGCCGAUCACAAUGCUGGAAAUGGCAGGUCAGUGCAGAUGAAACUGUGUAGUGAGGGGUAUGCAGUCAAAAUGAAGGCGAGACAGGCCAUCACGUGAAGAAAGGGUGAGCCCUCAGACUUGAUUUCCUUUAAAUUAAGAUACUGUUUUCUCAUGUGCAUAUAAAUGCAUAUUAAAGACUUGAACAGGCAUUCUCUUUAAACUUGAGGACUUUUCAUUUUUAAUACUGUCAUUUUUGCUUAAUAGUAAAUAUUUGCUUGCCUAAGUGACUCCCAAAUUGUGGGGGACUCUCCACGUGUCCCUUUUUUUAAAGUUUCAUGAUGAAAAGUGGUUAAGCACACAAAGCUGUUUUUGUUUGAUAUUUUGAGUUUUGUGACUGAGUUUAAAUGAAAUCUGUUAAAUGUGUUAGAGUUAACAUUCUUCUUUUGGUAAUUCUGUUUGGAAUAAAGUUGUUUGUUUUUUUUAAGUCCAUUCUAUUUGGUCUUCUACUGUGGUUGGGUUAGGGUUAUUGGCACAACUUUUCUGUGGUUCAGGCUUGUCACUGUUGCUAACCAUUGAGCACUCUGCUUUGACUGUAGCACCUUCACCUGUUAACUUUGUAGGUCCUUCAUUUAUCCGUCUUUGGUCUAGAAGAGUUCCAGAUAAGUUAAUUUUCCAGAUAGCUUAAUUGCAAAAUAUUUUUUAAAAUGGUUUUUCUCAAAUAAACUUUUCCCUACUAAGUAUAACCUUAGUAAAUGCAUCUUAUCAGUAAUUUCUGUGGUAUAAUGUGCCUUCAGGUCACACCUACCCCCACGCUAAGUGGUCUGGACCUUUGUGCUGUUUUGAGUUUUUUAUAUCUACGUUUGACUUCCCAGCUACGCUUUUCUGUUAGGGGAUUGUGAAAUUAUUUUAGCUACAUUGUUUACACAUUAAAUUUUCAGGUGUUCCCUGUCUCUAGGGACAGUCGCGGCUGCCUGGUGAGGACCACUAGGAAGGGGAACAAUUGCCAUAAUGUUUCUAAAACUCCAGUUUAGGGUUGGAAUUCAUUGUAUAUAUAUUCUGAACUUCCGAACUGGUAAAAGGGGUGUUGUGCGUGGCAUGUGAUGCGAUGCCGUUUCAGCCCAGCCGCUGGGGUGCUAUUAUAGACUACGGAGCGCAUUUCUCCGUGUGACCUGGUGUGGGCAGGGUGCUUCGGAUCUCUAAGAGGUGGGCACCCAACUUCAUUUAGCAUCUGAAAUUUCCAAUGGGGACAUUUUUUCCAGUGAGCAUAACUGAUUUUGAAGUAGAAACUGAAGAUAAAAUAAGAUUUUUUCUAAAUUCUGUCCCUUCAAUCCAUUCUGCAUAUUGCUUUAAGACUAAUUCUUUAGAUGCACGGAUCCAGGCCCCCCCCCCCCACCUCCCUUCCUGUCAUCGCUGGCUAACAUGGUCCUGCUCAGUGCCCGCCUUCUUCCACAGGAACUUGGGUGCUCUCGCAGCCUCCCCGGCCUCUGCCCAGGCCACGUUCCCCUGCCCUGAGCACAGCACCCUUCCCUGAUGGCUCAGUAACUCCUGCUGAGGCCUUCAGAUCUCUGCUCCAGCGUCACUUCCCCAGGGAAGCCGGCUCCCACUUGCAGGACUAAGUCAGGUUUCCCUUCUCUGUGUUCUUGUGCCACCAUGUUCCUGUUUUUCAUAGCACUUAAUUGUUUUAAUUGGACUGUGCUGAUUUGAUGUUUCCUGCCCCUUUUGAAUGGCAGCCACCUGAGGCAGGGGCUCUGCCAUAGCUUCCUGUUUCAAGUGUCCUGCCCAGUGCCUGACACCUGGUGGAGCUCUGGUUAACAGUAAAGAAUCAGUCAAGAGAGUAAAAGGACAUGUGGAUAUUCAGGAUCAUGGCAUUCUGGAAUAGCCUUUUUUUUUUUUUUUUUUAAUUUUGAGACAGAGCCAAGUGGGAGAGGAGCAGAGAGAGAGAGAGAGAGGGAGACACAGAAUCGGAAGCAGGCUCCAGGCUCUGAGCUGUCAGCACAGAGGCCAACAUGGGGUUUGAACUCACAAACCGUGAGAUCAUGACCUGAGCCAAAGUCGGAUGCUCAACUGACUGAGCUACCCAGGUGCCCUAGCAUUGUGGAAUAUCCUGUCUGACUUUCCUUCCUUGAUGGGUCAUGGAGGUUGGGUAAGGACGAAACUUUUACACUGCUUGGGCUGCAUAGUGAAAUACCACAGACUAAGUGGCUUAAACAACAGACAUUUAUCUCUCUUCAGUUCUCGAAACUAGGAAGUCCAAGCUCAAGGUUCCGGCAGAUUUGGUUCCUGGUGAGAGGCCUCUUCUUGAUGUGCAGACUUCUCACUGUGUCCUCAUGUGGCAGAAGGAACCUCAAUGAGCUCAUCUAAACCUAGUCACCUCCUGAGAGCCCCACCUCCAGAAUGGUGGCCUUCAC
Acinonyx jubatus (cheetah) is the source of this 6589-nucleotide RNA transcript. It is a transcript of the gene named solute carrier family 25 member 51, with no coding region annotated. NCBI's taxonomy places the organism in Eukaryota, Metazoa, Chordata, Mammalia, Carnivora, Felidae. The transcript is spliced from 6 exons. The record is from RefSeq and is a predicted model, not a curated record.